Non-coding RNA from Callorhinus ursinus (northern fur seal), 878 nucleotides. The record is from RefSeq and is a predicted model, not a curated record. NCBI's taxonomy places the organism in Eukaryota, Metazoa, Chordata, Mammalia, Carnivora, Otariidae.
ACCAAUCCUGGCCGCGGAGCCGGGAGCGGCAAGGGAACCAAUGGGGUAGCGAGACGGGCGGGUCGGAGGGCCCGGAGGAGACCCGUGAUGACGUGAGCCACAAUACGUUCGGACGGCCGAGCGCGGCCGAAGCUGGGGAAUUAGCUCAAAUGAUGCGAAGCGCCGCCCGGAGUCGUGAGUCAAUCGACAGGAGAGCGCAGGUUGGCAGCGAGGCUGAGAAGCGCAGGCCAGAGCCAGGCAGCCCAGGACCGGCCCCACAGAGGGAUAGAGGGACCUGGGGCCCCCGGUGACGCACGCAGAUCUGCAUCUUCCCCAGCAGCUGCCACCAACAACACCCCACCAUCACAUGGCCCUUCUGGACAUGCGGGGCUUUUGUGGGGUCACAGCCGGACCCUGCUUCUGGAGCUCUCACAGCUGAAUGGGAACAUGGCUGUCACUGCGUGUCCUGAGGGACUGGAAGGCCGAAGAAAGGGCCCAGCCUUUCUUGACAGGCAGAUGCGUAUGGGUCCUGAUCACUUCCCAGCUGCGGCGUGCCCCCUGGUGACACAUGACCCCGUUCUGCCCUGUGAGGAGGAUGAGGCGGCCACCUGUGAACCAGGAACUGGGCCCCCACGAGACACCAAAUCUGUCAGCGCCUUGAUCUUGGACUGGGCAGCCUCCCAAACUGUGAAAAACAGCUGUCUAAGCCACACCCAGUCUGUGAUAUCUUUGUUAGAGCAGCCGAGGACCAAGACGUUCGUGAUGCGAGAUGCUGCCUUUGGGGGGGAUCUGGGUGAAGGGUACGUGAGAUCUCUCUGUAUUCUUACAACCGCAUGUGAAUUGACAAUGAUCUCAAAAUACAAAGUAAAAAAAGUCACUCUUUCGGCUGGGAAAACAAA